Molecule: unclassified non-coding RNA, 342 nt
Filed under: soil metagenome
Description: partial contains 5.8S ribosomal RNA, internal transcribed spacer 2, and large subunit ribosomal RNA
Rfam family: 5.8S ribosomal RNA (bases 1-121)
Source: RNAcentral
GAUGAAGAACGCAGCGAAAUGCGAUAAGUAGUGUGAAUUGCAGAAUUCAGCGAAUCAUCGAAUCUUUGAACGCACAUUGCGCCCUUCGGUUAUUCCUUAGGGCAUGCCUGUUCGAGCGUCAUUUCAACCUUCAAGCCUGGCUUGGUGUUGGGCGCUGUCCCGCCUCCGCGCGCGGACUCGCCCCAAAUGAAUUGGCAGUCGCACCCUCCGAGCCGCGAGCGCAGCACAAGUCGCGCGGGCGGAACCCCGGGGGGACGGACGCUCCACAAGACCCUUUCUCAGUCUUGACCUCGGAUCAGGUAGGGAUACCCGCUGAACUUAAGCAUAUCAAUAAGCGGAGGA